GACGAACGCUGGCGGCGUGCUUAACACAUGCAAGUCGAACGGCAAGGCCCUGCUUUUGUGGGGUGCUCGAGUGGCGAACGGGUGAGUAACACGUGAGUAACCUGCCCUUGACUUUGGGAUAACUUCAGGUAACUGGGGCUACUCUCGGAUCGGAGAUCCUGCUGCGUGGUGGGGGUUGGAAAGUUUCGGCGGGUGGGGAUGGAUUCGCGGGUUAUCAGCUUGUUGGUGGGGGGGUGGCUUACCAAGGAAGUGGCUGGUAGCCGGCCCGGGAGGGUGGACGGCGUCAUUGGGCCUACGAGACGGCCCAGUCGCCUACGGUGGGCAGUAGUGGGGAACAUGGCACAAUGGUCGGGAGCCUGAGGCGGCAACGCCGCGGUCGUAAUGACGGCCUUCUGGGUGUAAACCGCUGUCGCCUGUUACGAAGCGUGAGUGACGGUAAUGGGUAAAGAAGCACCGGCUAACUACGUG
RNAcentral lists this ribosomal RNA (468 nucleotides) under uncultured bacterium. RNAcentral describes it as "partial 16S ribosomal RNA". It matches the Rfam family "Bacterial small subunit ribosomal RNA", at positions 28 to 507 of the family's 1533-position model. The record is from RNAcentral.